Gadus morhua (Atlantic cod) is the source of this 494-nucleotide long non-coding RNA. RefSeq lists it as uncharacterized. The transcript has 4 exons. The record is from RefSeq and is a predicted model, not a curated record. NCBI's taxonomy places the organism in Eukaryota, Metazoa, Chordata, Actinopteri, Gadiformes, Gadidae.
ACACAGGGGCCUACAUAAGAGUUACUGAUGAUGGUGUAAUCUGUCUCGUGGAGCCUUCUGCCAUAACACACCUCCAUGCUGUUGAUGAUGAUGAAGACACCUUAUCAGCUGCCACAGAGAGGGAAGUAAUAACUUUGGUUUCAGUUAAUUGUUCCACAAUGCAACUUGCAACUUCUUUCUCUCUAACAGAGCAAUGCCGGAAGUUACAAUCAGGAAGAAGGUCCAUCAACCUCCACAGCACAGCUUACCUCACUCCCUGUGAAACAACUUUACAAAGUAUAUUUAGAAUCCCAAAUAAACAAAUCACACCUAGAAGUGGAGCACAUAAGGCUGCAGAUCAUCAAAACAAAAAAGGAAAUACAACUGCUGGACCAUCAGUUAAAGGUGGGUGACGUGCCCACAGGGGGAUGUUUUUUAAUUGUUUCAACAACAAAGGAUUAACAACUGUACAACAUUUGCCCUUCUAGGAAAUAAAGAAGACCCCAUAAAAUGAG